Molecule: ribosomal RNA, 495 nt
Filed under: uncultured bacterium
Lineage: Bacteria
Description: partial 16S ribosomal RNA
Rfam family: Bacterial small subunit ribosomal RNA
Source: RNAcentral
GGUGAACGCUGGCGGCGUGCCUAAUACAUGCAAGUAGAACGCUGAAGGAGGAGCUUGCUCUUCUGGAUGAGUUGCGAACGGGUGAGUAACGCGUAGGUAACCUGCCUGGUAGCGGGGGAUAACUAUUGGAAACGAUAGCUAAUACCGCAUGACAACAGUUAUUGCAUGAUAACUGUUUAAAAGGGGCAACUGCUCCACUACCAGAUGGACCUGCGUUGUAUUAGCUAGUUGGUGAGGUAACGGCUCACCAAGGCGACGAUACAUAGCCGACCUGAGAGGGUGAUCGGCCACACUGGGACUGAGACACGGCCCAGACUCCUACGGGAGGCAGCAGUAGGGAAUCUUCGGCAAUGGACGGAAGUCUGACCGAGCAACGCCGCGUGAGUGAAGAAGGGUUUCGGAUCGUAAAGAUCUGUUGUAAGAGAAGAACGAGUGUGAGAGUGGAAAGUUCACACUGUGACGGUAUCUUACCAGAAAGGGACGGCUAACUACGUG